CGUUGAUUACGUCCCUGCCCUUUGUACACACCGCCCGUCGCUACUACCGAUUGAAUGGCUCAGUGAGGCGUCCGGACUGGCCCAGAGAGGUGGGCAACUACCCCUCAGGG
This 110-nucleotide ribosomal RNA is filed under the name Neonectria neomacrospora. Its description in RNAcentral is "partial small subunit ribosomal RNA". It matches the Rfam family "Eukaryotic small subunit ribosomal RNA", at positions 1639 to 1746 of the family's 1831-position model. The record is from RNAcentral. Lineage: Eukaryota; Fungi; Ascomycota; Sordariomycetes; Hypocreales; Nectriaceae.